This 443-nucleotide ribosomal RNA is filed under the name uncultured bacterium. Its description in RNAcentral is "partial 16S ribosomal RNA". It matches the Rfam family "Bacterial small subunit ribosomal RNA", at positions 338 to 795 of the family's 1533-position model. The record is from RNAcentral.
CCUACGGGUGGCUGCAGUGGGGAAUAUUGGGCAAUGGGCGCAAGCCUGACCCAGCAACGCCGCGUGAAGGAAGAAGGCUUUCGGGUUGUACACUUCUUUUCUCAGGGACGAAGAAAGUGACGGUACCUGAGGAAUAAGCCACGGCUAACUACGUGCCAGCCGCCGCGGUAAUACGUAGGCGGCAAGCGUUAUCCGGAUUUACUGGGUGUAAAGGGCGUGUAGGCGGGACUGCAAGUCAGAUGUGAAAACCACGGGCUCAACCUGGGGCCUGCAUGUGAAACUGUAGUUCUUGAGUACUGGAGAGGUAGACGGAAUGCCUAGUGUAGCGGUGAAAUGCGUAGAGAUUAGGAGGAACACCAGUGGCGAAGGCGGGCUGCUGGACAGCAACUGACGCUGAGGCGCGAAAGCGUGGGGAGCAAACAGGAUUAGAUACCCUGGUAGUC